RNAcentral lists this ribosomal RNA (253 nucleotides) under uncultured bacterium. Its description in RNAcentral is "partial 16S ribosomal RNA". It matches the Rfam family "Bacterial small subunit ribosomal RNA", at positions 524 to 776 of the family's 1533-position model. The record is from RNAcentral.
UACGUAGGGGGCAAGCGUUGUCCGGAAUCAUUGGGCGUAAAGCGUGCGUAGACGGUUAUUUAAGUCGGAUGUGAAAGCCCCGGGCUCAACCUGGGAAUUGCAUUCGAGACUGAAUAGCUAGGGUACGGUAGAGGGAAGUGGAAUUUCCGGUGUAGCGGUGAAAUGCGUAGAUAUCGGAAGGAACAUCAGUGGCGAAAGCGACUUCCUGGACCAGUACCGACGUUCAGGCACGAAAGCGUGGGGAGCAAACAGG